This 104-nucleotide ribosomal RNA is filed under the name uncultured bacterium. RNAcentral's name for it is "partial 16S ribosomal RNA". The record is from RNAcentral.
CACACCCGCCCCGUCACAUCAUGAAAAGCCCGUUUUGUACCCCGAAGUCACUGUGUUAACCCGCAAGGAAACAGGUGCCGAAGGUAUGGAUGGUGAUUGGGAUG